UGGUGGAGUGAUUUGUCUGCUUAAUUGCGUUAACGAACGAGACCUUAUCCUGCUAAAUAGUCAUGCCUAUCUUCGGAUAAGUAUCCGACUUCUUAGAGGGACUAUGUGUUUUUAAGCGCAUGGAAGUUUGAGGCAAAAACA
Molecule: ribosomal RNA, 141 nt
Filed under: uncultured eukaryote
Lineage: Eukaryota
Description: partial 18S ribosomal RNA
Rfam family: Eukaryotic small subunit ribosomal RNA
Source: RNAcentral